RNA transcript from Esox lucius (northern pike), 2133 nucleotides. It is a transcript of the gene named tumor necrosis factor receptor superfamily member 14-like, with no coding region annotated. NCBI's taxonomy places the organism in Eukaryota, Metazoa, Chordata, Actinopteri, Esociformes, Esocidae. The record is from RefSeq and is a predicted model, not a curated record. The transcript has 8 exons.
UAAAAUGUUUCUAUCCACCGUUCUUUCUUAUUGCUUGUUCUCUCUCUUGACAUUCUCAGUCGCACCAAGCAUGUCCAGUUCCAGGAAUACUCUUUUCUCUGUAAGAGGAGGAGAUAUGUUUUACUUUCACAUUCCAACCACCCCCACAUAACCAACAGGCUUAAGUUCAGUUCCAGUCCAAAGUUCCAAAGGUUCCAGUCUUCUUUAUGAGUGGAUAUAGAACACAAAUACAUUAAAGGCUGAUGUCAAGACUGAAGACAGGCAACACCAUCGACAAAGCCCACAUGAAGAUUAAAGACAGAAGGGAUGGUUCCAUUAUUAUGGUUUAAAACUGCAGCGUUGUGGACCUUUCAGUGAGAUGGUGAGGAAUGGAGAACCAUGGAAGACUUGAUAUGCAUAAUUUGUCUAACAAUCAGUUUGAUUCUUCUAAACAUCAAGUCCUCUGCUACAUGUGGUCCAGCUGAAUAUAUAAUAGGUGGUGAAUGUUGUCCGAUGUGUUCACCAGGAAACCAUGUAUACAGACAUUGUACAGAAUAUACAAGUACUUCCUGUGUUCCCUGUAUUGGCUCCACCUACCUUGAAGAACCCAAUGGUCUUACUAAAUGUAUACCAUGUAGACACUGUGACCCAGUCUUUGGUUUGAUGGUAAAACAUCCAUGUAGACCUUCAUCAGACACUGUCUGUGAGCCACUGGAGGGGUUCUACUGUACAGACCCAACUAAGGAUGGUUGUAAUGCAGCCCAGAGACACAGCAGCUGUGAACCUGGUCAAUACAUCAGACAGAAAGGAACUCCAUCUACAGACACUGUGUGUACUAACUGUACUGGUGACACCUAUUCAGAUGGAUCAUUUACAUCCUGUCAACCACACACACAAUGUGACACUUUGAAUCUUCAAGAAAUUAAACCUGGAACUUUUAGGUCCAACCCCGAAUGUGGACCAAAGACCUCAUCUCUUAUACCUGUAACUGUAUCUACAGUUUUGGUGUUCAUUUUUUUAAUAACUGGGACUAUCAUAUUAAUUUUAGUAAGGAAAAACCUUAAAAGCAGGCACAGGAGGGUUGUAAAUAAACAGGCAGAUGAACAAACCCCUACCAAGGAUUCACAUUUGAUAGAAAGUAAUAAUAAAAAGGAGUUUUUAAUGCACUGCACCUGGACGUAGGUAGGAUAAAGAAUCUUGAAGUUACUGCCUUUGAAACAAACAUCUACAGAUGAUCUGACAACAUCACCACGGACAUCCACUUGUGAAUUUAGUGAUGGCUAAAGACAUCUACCAAAUGAUUCCACAGUAUCACCAUGGAUGUAAUGGAACUUGUGAAUCUAGUGACAAUAUCUGUUCUUUUUUACACAAAAAACAUACAGACUCUCAUAAUGAGACGUCCAGGACACCAGUAUGGAAGAAAUGGACUCCACUAGUUGUAACCAUGGAUUUAUAUGAUUCCAUUACAGACUGAACCACAAGGGACAGUGAUGACCAGUUACCCAUGAUGCAUCACAAUGGAACACAUUUGAUACAAAUCAUGACUUGUAGUAAUCCUCAAACAUAGUACAAUAUAUAAAUAUUUUGUACAUUUGUAUUUUUUUACAUCCUGAUGAAUUGUAUUGCACUUAAAUGUUUUUAUGAUGGCUGAUUUUAUAAUCUAUUUUUAAUUGAGUUGUUUCUAUGAGCUGUAAUUCAUUUACAUGAGUAUAACAGGCAGGUCUCCAAGUACAACAUUCCUCUAUAAACAAUUCUGGAGACAAUAAAUGGAUGAAGGAGAGCUUUUCUGCAUCAGAAGAGGUGAUCAGGUUCUAUCUGAUCCCUAUAACAUGUUAUGCAACAAUUGUAAUCUACUUUUGUAUUUUCAUUAAAGAAAUCAUUAACCAAAUAAAUGUAUGUUCUAACUAUGAGUGUGUGAGUAUUCUAGUUAAGUACAGUUGUGUCCAACACAUUCAGACUAAAUUCAAACUGACUCUGAUGACCUGACAAUAAGACCACUGACUGACACUAGUGUGGAACCAGGUGGUGUUUUAUACAUUAAUAGGAUUGGCUUCAUCUUUGUAGAAUAGGAUUAGUACCUGUCCUUUUGUGUGAGUAAUGCAUCUAGUGAUGUCAGUGCCACAGGAAAGAGGAACGGGAAAAGUAAUAUUGGUA